This is a small nucleolar RNA of Rhea pennata, 134 nucleotides long. RefSeq annotates it as small nucleolar RNA SNORA69. The record is from RefSeq and is a predicted model, not a curated record. The transcript has a single exon. NCBI's taxonomy places the organism in Eukaryota, Metazoa, Chordata, Aves, Rheiformes, Rheidae.
AAAGCAGGCUGCAAUUACAGUGCUUCGCUCGUUCCGUGGGAGUACUGUCAUUUUCCUGCUGAGAGCAAUUCUGUUAAUGUCGUCUGGUUUUACCUGCCUGUCGGUGAAACCGUUUGUCCUUAACAUGUACAAGU